GGGUCUGCUUCCGGGGUUCGCGACCUGCGGGCUCCGUCCGGGUCUCCAGAGACGAGCGGAUUGUGUCGCACCUCUUUCCCGGAGCCACUUGGGGCGGGGGCGGCGCACUGCAGAGGCCCGGGUUCCCGCGGCUUGAGGGAAACGGCUGAGGGCCGGAGGAUCUGCUUGCACAACCCCCUUCUCGCGCCCGCCGGGAUCCCAGAUCAGCUGCAAGCCUGGGCUGGCGUCCGCCUCGCGGUCUUCACCCACCCCAGUAAACCAUACCCUGUCCCCGUGUGGAGAUGCAAACCACUGAAAACCGCAGCGUGGACCCGAGCUGCCCUUUAGGACAGUCUCUCCCUGGAAAAAUCCCUCUCGCGACCACAGCCUGUCGUCUGGGGACAGCUAAGGAGACACUGCUCAAAACUGGGGACGAAGACUUACCUGAAGCCGCAAGCUCAUUCCGACUUCACCAGUGACCUUGGACGCCUCUUCUAAACAAGGUGUCUCUGUUGAACUUCCUGAUUCUGGGGAUAAAGGUGGCUAUUCACUUUCUAACUCUAAGGAGGUAAUAGCGACUGGGUUUAAGAAAAAAAAAAACACUCCAGACAUCUUUAAUAACAAGUGCAAUAUAAAUAUAAUUUGUAUUGACUUUAGGUAAGGUUGAAGGAAACCUUAAGACUGGGAAGAAAACCGUUUUAAUUUGUUAGUACAAAUGCAAAACUAAUUCAUCAGCCCCUCUACCUGUUUUUCUGGGAAGGUCAUCCCCAUCAAGAACUUUUCCACCUGCCUCGGUUCUUGGGAGAGCCAGUCACUGUCCAUUUACAUGUGUCCUCUCUAAGACCAUCGUCCAGUUACCUCUUAAAUGUGGGUGUUUUCUUGCCUGUCCACUGAUCUCACAAUCG
Molecule: non-coding RNA, 884 nt
Organism: Leptonychotes weddellii (Weddell seal)
Lineage: Eukaryota; Metazoa; Chordata; Mammalia; Carnivora; Phocidae
Source: RefSeq, a predicted model, not a curated record